CGUAGGUGGCAAGCGUUGUCCGGAUUUAUUGGGUUUAAAGGGUGCGUAGGCGGUCUUGUAAGUCAGUGGUGAAAUUCGGCAGCUUAACUGUCGAGGUGCCAUUGAUACUGCAGGACUUGAGUACAGACGAGGUAGGCGGAAUUGACGGUGUAGCGGUGAAAUGCUUAGAUAUCGUCAAGAACACCGAUAGCGAAGGCAGCUUACUAGACUGUAACUGACGCUGAUGCACGAAAGUGUGGGGAUCAAACAGGAUUAGAUACCCUGGUAGUCCACACUGUAAACGAUGAUUACUCGAUGUUGGCGAUACACAGCCAGCGUCUUAGCGAAAGCGAUAAGUAAUCCACCUGGGGAGUACGCCGGCAACGGUG
RNAcentral lists this ribosomal RNA (368 nucleotides) under uncultured organism. Its description in RNAcentral is "bacterial SSU rRNA". It matches the Rfam family "Bacterial small subunit ribosomal RNA", at positions 526 to 896 of the family's 1533-position model. The record is from RNAcentral.